RNAcentral lists this ribosomal RNA (375 nucleotides) under uncultured Alphaproteobacteria bacterium. RNAcentral describes it as "bacterial SSU rRNA". It matches the Rfam family "Bacterial small subunit ribosomal RNA", at positions 521 to 896 of the family's 1533-position model. The record is from RNAcentral. Lineage: Bacteria; Pseudomonadati; Pseudomonadota; Alphaproteobacteria.
UAAUACGGAGGGGGCUAGCGUUGCUCGGAAUUACUGGGCGUAAAGCGCGCGUAGGCGGUAAAUCAAGUCAGGCGUGAAAGCCCAGGGCUUAACCCUGGAACUGCGCUUGAUACUGAUUUACUAGAAUUCGAGAGAGGGUAGUGGAAUUUCCAGUGUAGAGGUGAAAUUCGUAGAUAUUGGAAAGAACACCAGUGGCGAAGGCGGCUGCCUGGCUCGAUAUUGACGCUGAGGUGCGAAAGCGUGGGGAGCGAACGGGAUUAGAUACCCCGGUAGUCCACGCCGUAAACGAUGAGUGCUAGUUGUUGGGCAGUUCGCUGUUCGGUGACGCAGCUAACGCGUUAAGCACUCCGCCUGGGGAGUACGGCCGCAAGGUUA